RNAcentral lists this long non-coding RNA (1933 nucleotides) under Gossypium barbadense (sea-island cotton). RNAcentral's name for it is "long non-coding RNA (GBAR_LNC018251)". The record is from RNAcentral. Lineage: Eukaryota; Viridiplantae; Streptophyta; Magnoliopsida; Malvales; Malvaceae.
AAAAGAAUAGGGUUUUGAAUGCUUAAACCAUUCGGCACUUGUGUGGCUUGAUUAAGGUAUGUUCUUUGCUCGGUUUUUUAUGAUUUUUACGUUUUUGAGAUCGCUGCUUUGUAUUCUAGCUAGCCCAUGCUCUAAUUUUGAAAGUUGUUAAUGAUUUUGUGAAGUGCCAUUGAUGAAUACUUGAGCUUUUUAAUGUUUGAUAAUGGAAAAUGGUUAUUUGUUGAUAGAUUUAAAUGUUUUGUAAAGUGAUUUUUGACAAAAAUGAGCAUUAGGGUUUUUUUUAAAGAUAGAAAUAUUAUGGUUAGAAAUGAGAAAUAAAUGAAAAUAUGGGCUGAUUAGAAGCUAUAUAGUAUUCGGCUAAGUAUAUGUGUAAAGAAAUUUUGUAUAUUUUAUGUAAUUGUGAAUUAGGGACUAAAGUGUCAAAAUGUGAGAAUAUGAGGGCUAUUUUGUAAAAAGGCCAAAAUAUAUGUAUAUGGAUUGAAUUGAAUGGUUUGGUGAAUAAAUGGGUUAAAUUUGAAUUUAUAUAGAUCAAUAUAAACAAAUACCGGAACUUGAUCGGGGGAAACAAAAGUUAGACGGGUAGACGAAAGUAUCCGAGCAAAAAUACAAGGUAAGUUCGUAUCAAUAGAAUCAAAAUUUAAUUAUGUGAAUUUACUUGUAUUUGAUUUGAAAUAGAAUUAUAAUUGUUUGAAAAUGUAUGAUAUGAAAUUCGAAUACUUGAUUGAGGAAAUUAUUGAGUAAUACCAAGCCCCUCUUGAACUCAGAGAAAAUCGUAGGAUACAAGUGACAUGUUGUUAGGGUUACCGUAUUGGUCGAGCUUCUGUAUUUGUUUCGGGCUCACCACAGCUAGUAUGAGCUUACCUAUAUAUAAGCUUUUAUGAGCUUACCGUUUCAGCUCGAUAGAGCUUAUCGUUUAUCAACUCGGAAUGAGCUUACCGAUCAUGGCUCGAAAGAGCAUACAUGAUAAUGAAUUGACAGAUUUCUGAUGAAUACACUUAUAGUGUAUCACCCGUAUAUCCUUCGAUAUUCAAAAAGGUUCAACAGGCAUAAUUGCUGUUACUAAUCAUAUGAAUAAACUAUGUAAUUAUAUGGAUGAAUUAUUGUUGAUAUGUAUAAGUUACUGUUGAUACGGAUAAAUUUCUGUUAUUACUGAUGAAUUACAGGUUAUACGAAUAGGAACGAAUUGAUAUAAAAGUUAUAUGAUUUACAUAUUUAUAAGUUACAUGAAAUACGUGAUUUACAUGGAUUAUUUGUUUUAUGAAUAUAUGAAUUAUAGGGACGACAUGAUAUAUUUAGCUAUAUGACUUGGAUUGAUUUUAUGAUAUAUGAUUUAUAUGGAUUGAGGAAUGAAUUUGGAGGCUAAAAGAAUGUUAUAUGUUUGGUUUCAUCUUUAUGAAUGGAUGAAUAUAUGGAUGUGAAAUGAAUAACUUGUGAAUGGUGAUGUGAAUAGGUUUUUUGGACAAAUGAGUUGAUUUUAAUUGCUUUAAUGCUUAAUGUUAAAUUGGUAAGUUUAAUUUUAUAUUAUACGGCUUACUAAGCUCAAUGCUUACUUCAUUCAUUUUCUUAUGUCCUAUAGAUUUCGGAAGUUAGCUCGAUUUCGAACGAGGUCGGAGAUUUGCUAUCACACUAUCUAGACGAUAUUCGGUACUUUUGGAUCUUAUGUAAAUAAUGUAAAUAUGGCAUGUAUAAGCUAGUUUCUGGGUUGAAUUAUAUGGUCAUUUAUGUUGGUGAAUGUGGUAUGGAUUUUGGGGUUUGAUCAAGCUAUGUGAUAUGGCUUGAGUUGGAAAUGUUUGGUUUGGUAUGGAAGCAUUAUAUGUUAUGCUCAUUUUGUGGUGAAUUUGAUAAAUGGUAUUUUGGCAUAAAUGAGACAUAUGUGUGACCAAAUGAAAUGUCAUUUUGGUAUGUGUUUACUUGUGAAUUCGGUAAGAUUUUG